AGUGAACGCUGGCGGCGUGCUUAACACAUGCAAGUCGAACGAGAACGGGUUAUAGCUUGCUAUAAUUGUCAGCUAAGUGGCGCACGGGUGAGUAAUGUAUAGGUAAUAUGCCUCUUACUAAGGGAUAACAAAUGGAAACGUUUGCUAAUACCUUAUACUCCUUAUUAACAUAAGUUAAUAAGGGAAAGAUUUAUUGGUAAGAGAUUAGCCUGUAUUGUAUCAGUUAGUUGGUGGGGUAAUGGCUUACCAAGACUAUGACACAUAACUGGUUUGGGAGGAUGAUCAGUCACACUGGAACUUAGACACGGUCCAGAUUCCUACGGGAGGCAGCAGUGGGGAAUAUUGCACAAUGGACGAAAGUCUGAUGCAGCAACGCCGCGUGGAGGAUGACACAUUUCGGUGCGUAAACUCCUUUUAUAUGAGAAGAUAAUGACGGUAUUAUAUGAAUAAGCACCAGCUAACUCCGUGCCAGCAGCCGCCGUAA
This 484-nucleotide ribosomal RNA is filed under the name uncultured bacterium. Its description in RNAcentral is "partial 16S ribosomal RNA". It matches the Rfam family "Bacterial small subunit ribosomal RNA", at positions 29 to 523 of the family's 1533-position model. The record is from RNAcentral.